Molecule: ribosomal RNA, 301 nt
Filed under: uncultured bacterium
Lineage: Bacteria
Description: partial 16S ribosomal RNA
Rfam family: Bacterial small subunit ribosomal RNA
Source: RNAcentral
CAGUAGCCGCGGUAAUACGUAGGGUGCAAGCGUUAAUCGGAUUUACUGGGCGUAAAGCGUGCGUAGGCGGCUUCUUAAGUCGGAUGUGAAAUCCCUGAGCUUAACUUAGGAAUUGCAUUCGAUACUGGGAAGCUAGAGUAUGGGAGAGGAUGGUAGAAUUCCAGGUGUAGCGGUGAAAUGCGUAGAGAUCUGGAGGAAUACCGAUGGCGAAGGCAGCCAUCUGGCCUAAUACUGACGCUGAGGUACGAAAGCAUGGGGAGCAAACAGGAUUAGAUACCCCAGUAGUCCCUGUCUCUUAUAC